Long non-coding RNA from Tetranychus urticae (two-spotted spider mite), 1784 nucleotides. RefSeq lists it as uncharacterized. NCBI's taxonomy places the organism in Eukaryota, Metazoa, Arthropoda, Arachnida, Trombidiformes, Tetranychidae. The record is from RefSeq and is a predicted model, not a curated record.
AAAGAAAGCUCAUCAGGUCGUUUAAAGAUUGAAGACACAAGCUUUAUCCAGGCUGCUUAUCUAAACAUGAAAAUACAUGACAAUAAGAUGUAUGAUCCAAGGGUUAAAACAAAAGACUCAUAGACUCUUGCCAACAAUGGAUAUCAUAACAAGUCUAAGGUAAAAAAUCCUUUCUCAGCAGCAAAUUAAUAACAACUUAAACAGUUUAAUCUGAAACGAUGAUUAUGAUGGUGAAAAGGGUGACAAAGAAAAACAUUGAAAAUGAACCCAAAAAGGACAAAGUAAAAGAGUUACAUAGAGUUACUUACCUACCAAUGGACCCCUAAAGGCAGUGGAUAACAUUUUAAUCAACCAAGGAAAACCAUUUUUAAUCAACUGGAAUAUCAAGACAAAUGAGAGUCUCUGCUGAGCGCAAACCAGGAGGAGGACGAGGUGAAGGUGGAUGAGAGUUACAUUGACAAUUGCUUUUGCUUUUUCGCUCAUAAGACAUUAACAUUUCACCUUCAAAAGAAAUGGUCAACGAACAGUUAAACAAUCAAACGUAAUGGGAAUACAUUUUGUGUUUUUCCAAUUAUAUUGUUUUACUGGUACAAUUUUUUACUAGCUUCAACCUAUCAUUAUCAUGAGAUCAUUUAUUGCCAGCAAGCAAUUUUAUGUUACAAUUAACCGUUGUAAUUAUAUACAUAAUUUACAAUAUCGACUGCAAAUUGUUUCACCUUGACGAUAGAGAGAGAGAGAAAAAAAUGAUCUCAUGUUUAUAAGGGUCAAAUUGAAGCUUUCAGUAAAAAUCUGUACAAGUUGAGUUGCUUGGAGGUGUAUGAUUUCAAGCAAAAAUUGUCAACAAUAGCUUUACGAGGAAACGCUUUAUUAGAAGGAAAAAAAUGAUUAGUUUCAAUUUUGUUCAUUUUUUUCUGGUCAAACAUGGCUGAUCACUCAUUAUAGCUAUAAAUGAACAAUAACAUUAGCCAGCAUUAGUAAACAUUAGCCAAAACUAGCUAAUACUUUAUGUAACUGGUUAGGCUUUUGCUACAUUAAGCAACAUUAAAUGGCGUAAAAUCAUCAGCUAAAUUGUCAAUGUGAUGUGAAACCUUUAAAAGCUUCACAGAAAUGGAAACAAUCGCUAAAAUGAAAAGUCUAACCUUUUGAACCAGUUUCUCGAGCUGUUAACCCAUUUCCAUAUCAACUUACUCCAUUAGAUAAGGAUCAUAAUCCAAAAAUCACACUGAUCAGUUGACAGUCAAAACCCUGUUGCCCUGUUGAGCCUUUGUUAAUUGGAAACAUUUCCAACCAAGGAAAAUAAAUUGUUGAGAAAUUGAAAGAUCAUUAAGGUUAAAGUCAGAGGAGGAAAAAAUACUAAUGAGAAAAGAUGAUGAUUCAGGUGUUGUUUCUUGUGGUGACUCUGGAAAUGGCGAUAAUGAAAAUAAUUGCACUGGUUUCCAGCAUAAUGAAGGUUGCUGUUGACCAAAGGUUAAUGAGUCCCUUUGGAUACUGAAGAGAGUUCAAUUUAUUCAACCAAUUUGUUUGGGUCCAGUUUGCUCCAUCAUGAUUACUAUAACAAGUUAAUCAAUCAAAAUUGCCAUCAUAAGGACAGCGGCUACUUUUCACUGAUUGAAAAUGAUUACCAUUUAAUUUACAAAAAAAAUAGUUUCAUUUUUUCCCAAUCUUCAUCUGGUUCAAUCCAACAAUUGAUCAAGGGUAACAACAAACGAAACAAAUUAUUUGUUAUUUGUUUUGCCAAACAAAAUUGCCAUUUCCAUGAUAAAUUUUUCCUUUCCAUUUCAUUA